UUCGGAGGUACUCGAGUGGCGAACGGGUGAGUAACACGUGGGCAAUCUGCCCUGCACUUCGGGAUAAGCCUGGGAAACUGGGUCUAAUACUGGAUAGGACCUCAAGACGCAUGUCUUCUGGUGGAAAGCUUUUGCGGUGUGGGAUGGGCCCGCGGCCUAUCAGCUUGUUGGUGGGGUGACGGCCUACCAAGGCGACGACGGGUAGCCGGCCUGAGAANGGGUGUCCGGCCACACUGGGACUGAGAUACGGCCCAGACUCCUACGGGAGGCAGCAGUGGGGAAUAUUGCACAAUGGGCGCAAGCCUGAUGCAGCGACGCCGCGUGGGGGAUGACGGCCUUCGGGUUGUAAACCUCUUUCACCAUCGACGAAGGUCCGGGUUUUCUCGGAUUGACGGUAGGUGGAGAAGAAGCACCGGCCAACUACGUGCCAGCAGCCGCGGUAAUACGUAGGGUGCGAGCGUUGUCCGGAAUUACUGGGCGUAAAGAGCUCGUAGGUGGUUUGUCGCGUUGUUCGUGAAAUCUCACGGCUUAACUGUGAGCGUGCGGGCGAUACGGGCAGACUAGAGUACUGCAGGGGAGACUGGAAUUCCUGGUGUAGCGGUGGAAUGCGCAGAUAUCAGGAGGAACACCGGUGGCGAAGGCGGGUCUCUGGGCAGUAACUGACGCUGAGGAGCGAAAGCGUGGGGAGCGAACAGGAUUAGAUACCCUGGUAGUCCACGCCGUAAACGGUGGGUACUAGGUGUGGGUUUCCUUCCUUGGGAUCCGUGCCGUAGCUAACGCAUUAAGUACCCCGCCUGGGGAGUACGGCCGCAAGGCUAAAACUCAAAGGAAUUGACGGGGGCCCGCACAAGCGGCGGAGCAUGUGGAUUAAUUCGAUGCAACGCGAAGAACCUUACCUGGGUUUGACAUGCACAGGACGCGUCUAGAGAUAGGCGUUCCCUUGUGGCCUGUGUGCAGGUGGUGCAUGGCUGUCGUCAGCUCGUGUCGUGAGAUGUUGGGUUAAGUCCCGCAACGAGCGCAACCCUUGUCUCAUGUUGCCAGCGGGUAAUGCCGGGGACUCGUGAGAGACUGCCGGGGUCAACUCGGAGGAAGGUGGGGAUGACGUCAAGUCAUCAUGCCCCUUAUGUCCAGGGCUUCACACAUGCUACAAUGGCCGGUACAAAGGGCUGCGAUGCCGUAAGGUUAAGCGAAUCCUUUUAAAGCCGGUCUCAGUUCGGAUUGGGGUCUGCAACUCGACCCCAUGAAGUCGGAGUCGCUAGUAAUCGCAGAUCAGCAACGCUGCGGUGAAUACGUUCCCGGGCCUUGUACACACCGCCCGUCACGUCAUGAAAGUCGGUAACACCCGAAGCCA
RNAcentral lists this ribosomal RNA (1351 nucleotides) under Mycobacterium sp. DWMJ-569B1. RNAcentral describes it as "bacterial SSU rRNA". It matches the Rfam family "Bacterial small subunit ribosomal RNA", at positions 79 to 1429 of the family's 1533-position model. The record is from RNAcentral. Lineage: Bacteria; Bacillati; Actinomycetota; Actinomycetes; Mycobacteriales; Mycobacteriaceae.